CAUAAGUAACGAUAAAGCGGGUGAAAAGCCCGCUCGCCGGAAGACCAAGGGUUCCUGUCCAACGUUAAUCGGGGCAGGGUGAGUCGACCCCUAAGGCGAGGCCGAAAGGCGUAGUCGAUGGGAAACGGGUUAAUAUUCCCGUACUUGGUGUUACUGCGAAGGGGGGACGGAGAAGGCUAUGUUGGCCGGGCGACGGUUGUCCCGGUUUAAGCGUGUAGGUGUGUGUUCCAGGUAAAUCCGGUUCACUUUAACACUGAGGCGUGAUGACGAGGCACUACGGUGCUGAAGCAACAAAUGCCCUGCUUCCAGGAAAAGCCUCUAAGCAUCAGGUAACAUCAAAUCGUACCCCAAACCGACACAGGUGGUCAGGUAGAGAAUACCAAGGCGCUUGAGAGAACUCGGGUGAAGGAACUAGGCAAAAUGGUGCCGUAACU
RNAcentral lists this ribosomal RNA (434 nucleotides) under Salmonella enterica. Its description in RNAcentral is "partial 23S ribosomal RNA". It matches the Rfam family "Bacterial large subunit ribosomal RNA", at positions 1301 to 1735 of the family's 2925-position model. Lineage: Bacteria; Pseudomonadati; Pseudomonadota; Gammaproteobacteria; Enterobacterales; Enterobacteriaceae. The record is from RNAcentral.